CAGAGAUAUACCGGGAAGAAGGAGGAAGUCAGUCAGAGAAUUGCGUUAUACGGAGUUGUACUGCUACCAGCCAAGAAUGCCAAUGACUCCCAGUAACCAUUAGAAGCUAGAAGGGGGGAAGAAGAAAUCUCACUAGAGCCUUCAGAGAGAAUAUGGCCCUGCUGAAACAUUGAUUUCAGACUUAAAGCCUCCAAAACACAUCAUGAAAUUUGACCUCUUCAGCCGUGCAUGGUUAACACUCCAUCUAUCUGAGUAAGUCCUGCCUUGAAGAAUCGUGAGUGCAAACCAGUUUGAGAGAGAAGAGGAAAAAUAAAUGGUCGUGCUCUGUCUUCCAGGCUGGAAUGCAGUGGUAUGAUCACAACUCACAACUUACUGCAUCCUCUACCUCCUGAGCUCAAGGGGAAUCCUUCCACUUCAGCCUCCAAGGUGGCUGGGACCAUAGAUACACUCCACUACUCAAAGUUUAGCAACCACUCAAGGAAAUUUAAAACACUAAAUUUCUGGACUUGCCAGACUAAGGGCCAGACUCUGGACCUCACCAAAUUCAUCAAG
RNAcentral lists this long non-coding RNA (552 nucleotides) under Homo sapiens (human). Its description in RNAcentral is "HSALNT0192143". Lineage: Eukaryota; Metazoa; Chordata; Mammalia; Primates; Hominidae. The record is from RNAcentral.